UGGGGGAAAAUUAAUAUAAUAAAAUAAAUAAUAAAAAUAAUUAUAAAAAAUAAUUAAUGGGGGUUAAAGUAUUUUUUAGAAAAAAUUUAUUAAUUUAUAGUUUAAUAGUAUUGUGAAAGAAUUUUGAAAUAAAGUUAAAUAUCGAUUAUUAUUUAAGUAAAUUUAAUUUAUUGUAUCUUGUGUAUCAGAGUUUAUUAAUAAAAUAUUUUUAAAUAAAAAUAUCUCGAAUUUAAAAGAGAUAGUUAAUUACUAAAGUUAAUGUGACAUAAUUAUUUUAAAUAAUUAAUUUGAAAUGAAAUGUUAAUCGUUUUUAAAAAUAUCUAGUUUUUUUAGAAAAAAAUUUAAUUUUAAAUUAAUUUAAUAAUUUUUUAAAUUUCUUAUAUAAAAUUAUAUAUUUAAUUAAAUAUUUUAAGGGAUAAGCUUUAAAUUAAAUUUUUAUAAUAUUAAUAAAUUAUUUAAAUAUUUUAAAAUUUAUAUUUUUUAUAAAUUAUAAUUUUUUAUAAAUAAUUUUAUUUAUUUUAAAAUUUAAAUUUAUAUUUAAAUUUAUAUAGAAAAAUAAUUUUUAAUAAUAAAAAAUUAGUUAUAAUGAUAAAAUUAGUAUAUAAAAAAAAAAAUAAAAUAAAAUUAAUUAAAAUUAAUAAAAAGGAAUUCGGCAAAAAU
This 660-nucleotide ribosomal RNA is filed under the name Colias hecla (Greenland butterfly). RNAcentral's name for it is "partial 16S ribosomal RNA". Lineage: Eukaryota; Metazoa; Arthropoda; Insecta; Lepidoptera; Pieridae. The record is from RNAcentral.